This 121-nucleotide transfer RNA is filed under the name Actinomycetota bacterium. Its description in RNAcentral is "tRNA-Arg". The stretch from base 56 to 118 matches the Rfam family "tRNA". From Rfam's summary of the family: Transfer RNA (tRNA) molecules are approximately 80 nucleotides in length. Their secondary structure includes four short double-helical elements and three loops (D, anti-codon, and T loops). The record is from RNAcentral. Lineage: Bacteria; Bacillati; Actinomycetota.
GUCGCCCGAUCAGCCUCCACCACCAGCGGAUGAACAACCCUGACAUUGACAUAGCGCUCCCAUUGAGGGCAACGGUUUCCUAAACCGUGUGUCGCAGGUUCGAUUCCUGCCGGGGGCACCA